This 492-nucleotide ribosomal RNA is filed under the name uncultured bacterium. Its description in RNAcentral is "partial 16S ribosomal RNA". It matches the Rfam family "Bacterial small subunit ribosomal RNA", at positions 29 to 507 of the family's 1533-position model. The record is from RNAcentral.
AGUGAACGCUGGCGGUAGGCCUAACACAUGCAAGUCGAACGGCAGCACAGUAAGAGCUUGCUCUUACGGGUGGCGAGUGGCGGACGGGUGAGGAAUACAUCGGAAUCUACUUUUUCGUGGGGGUUAACGUAGGGAAACUUACGCUAAUACCGCAUACGACCUACGGGUGAAAGCAGGGGAUCUUCGGACCUUGCGCGAUUGAAUGAGCCGAUGUCGGAUGAGCUAGUUGGCGGGGUAAAGGCCCACCAAGGCGAGGAUCCGUAGCUGGUCUGAGAGGAUGAUCAGCCACACUGGAACUGAGACACGGUCCAGACUCCUACGGGAGGCAGCAGUGGGGAAUAUUGGACAAUGGGCGCAAGCCUGAUCCAGCCAUGCCGCGUGGGUGAAGAAGGCCUUCGGGUUGUAAAGCCCUUUUGUUGGGAAAGAAAAGCAGCAGGUUAAUACCCCGCUGUUCUGACGGUACCCAAAGAAUAAGCACCGGCUAACUUCGUG